CCAUGACAAUGACUGAGAGAGACUAAAAAAAGGACGGAAAAGAGGCCAUCAAAUAAAGCCCACGCUGCUCAGUGCCCACUUAGUGUUUCCCGUAUUUGCUUUGUGACACCAAACAGGAAAGAGCUCACCUAUUCAGUGUCCCUGUUUCUACAUCUGUAAAAGAAAAAAUGUGGAAAACAUCUGUCAAGAAAGCUCCAGGAUCUGAAGUCUAAGGAAUCACUAAGAAAUGUACUGAUGAAAGAAAGGAAGUAAAUUAUUCUCUGAUUGUCACAACUGUUAGCAUUCCAAAUAUAUCAAAUAAUUUCUA
Long non-coding RNA from Homo sapiens (human), 307 nucleotides. The record is from Ensembl. NCBI's taxonomy places the organism in Eukaryota, Metazoa, Chordata, Mammalia, Primates, Hominidae.